AUGGCUCGUAACACCUUGAUGAUGCUUGUUGCGUGAGAAAUUUGAAACGAGCGUAACACGAGGAUCUUCCGCAACAAAGCCGCCCCUACUACCGCCGUCAUUGCCAAGAUUAAGGAUAAAGCCUCUCUUUGGGCUCGUGCGGGUGCAAAGUAUUUGAGUAAUGUAAUGCCAGGUUUGGGUCGCGGAGGACACCAAACGGACGCGCGCCUCGUCCGCUUCGGGGCCGCGUGGCAGGCGGCCACCUACCUCCCACCCGCCCAUAUCAAUGCGCACGAGCGGGCGGCCCCACCUGUCAUCCGCACGUCGAACGGUCGUCGUCCUUCUUUAAGUGGGAAGCGUGGACGGGUCGUCGUCCACACUGCCCCACGCCACCCAGCGGCCUCCUCGAACCCCGACAACGCCGAACCCUAG
Molecule: ribosomal RNA, 411 nt
Filed under: Triticum aestivum (bread wheat)
Lineage: Eukaryota; Viridiplantae; Streptophyta; Magnoliopsida; Poales; Poaceae
Description: partial small subunit ribosomal RNA
Source: RNAcentral